GAUGAACGCUAGCGAUAGGCUUAACACAUGCAAGUCGAGGGGCAGCAUGGUCUUAGCUUGCUAAGACUGAUGGCGACCGGCGCACGGGUGCGUAACGCGUAUGCAACUUGCCUCACAGAGGGGGAUAACCCGUCGAAAGACGGACUAAUACCGCGUACACUCCAUCUUGGGCAUCCAAGGUAGAGGAAAUGAAAUUCGCUGUGAGAUAGGCAUGCGUCCCAUUAGCUAGUUGGUGAGGUAACGGCUCACCAAGGCGACGAUGGGUAGGGGAACUGAGAGGUUGAACCCCCACACUGGUACUGAGACACGGACCAGACUCCUACGGGAGGCAGCAGUGAGGAAUAUUGGUCAAUGGGCGAGAGCCUGAACCAGCCAAGUCGCGUGAAGGAUGACUGUCUUAUGGAUUGUAAACUUCUUUUAUACGGGAAUAACAAGAGUCACGUGUGACUCCCUGCAUGUACCGUAUGAAUAAGCAUCGGCUAACUCCGU
RNAcentral lists this ribosomal RNA (489 nucleotides) under uncultured bacterium. RNAcentral's name for it is "partial 16S ribosomal RNA". It matches the Rfam family "Bacterial small subunit ribosomal RNA", at positions 28 to 506 of the family's 1533-position model. The record is from RNAcentral.